Molecule: long non-coding RNA, 279 nt
Filed under: Chlamydomonas reinhardtii
Lineage: Eukaryota; Viridiplantae; Chlorophyta; Chlorophyceae; Chlamydomonadales; Chlamydomonadaceae
Description: long non-coding RNA (CREI_LNC000700)
Source: RNAcentral
GGAACUUGCGCUUGUGCUCUUGAAGGUGACGGGACGGGCGCUGGGCAUUCGUGACGUAAACCGCAUGUGGGGUAUGCAAUGGCGGGGGUUAGCAGCCGAUGAGAGGGUUGCAGCUGGCAGGCGCACUUGGUGGAGAAGAAGGGGAGGGUGGGACCUCCGGGGAGGCUCGGGUAAGGCACGGGGGCAAAGGACACGGCAGGCUUGCCAGCACUGUGAGUUGAGGUGGUGGGCCUGGAAUGCAGCAGGACCCGUCAAGGCCACCCAUAUCGCAGACAACAG